RNAcentral lists this ribosomal RNA (253 nucleotides) under uncultured bacterium. Its description in RNAcentral is "partial 16S ribosomal RNA". It matches the Rfam family "Bacterial small subunit ribosomal RNA", at positions 524 to 776 of the family's 1533-position model. The record is from RNAcentral.
UACAGAGGUCCCAAGCGUUGUUCGGAUUCACUGGGCGUAAAGGGUGCGUAGGUGGCGAGGUAAGUCGGACGUGAAAGCUCGGAGCUCAACUCCGAAAUGGCGUUGGAAACUGCCUUGCUCGAGGGUUGGCGGGGGGACUGGAAUGCUUGGUGUAGCAGUGAAAUGCGUAGAUAUCAAGCGGAACACCAGUGGCGAAGGCGAGUCCCUGGACAACUCCUGACACUGAGGCACGAAAGCUGGGGGAGCAAACAGG